Long non-coding RNA from Chinchilla lanigera (long-tailed chinchilla), 5516 nucleotides. RefSeq lists it as uncharacterized. The transcript has 4 exons. Lineage: Eukaryota; Metazoa; Chordata; Mammalia; Rodentia; Chinchillidae. The record is from RefSeq and is a predicted model, not a curated record.
UCUGGGUGUCAGGUAUUUUGUCUCAGCAACAAGAGAAAAGUAACCAAGACAUUGCUGUUAUCAAAAAAGAAGAUCAAAUGUGCUGGGAGAGACACAGGAAAAAGGGAAGGCUCCUGCACUGUUGUGGGAAUGUAAAUCCACACACCAUGGUGGAAAAGAGCAUGGCGUUCCUCAGAAUGUCAAAAAACAGAAUCUCCUUACGAUCCGUCAGUUCUGCUCCUAGGUGCAUAUCCAAGGAAGUACAUCGGCAUGUUCACUGCAGCACCAUUCACAAGAGCCAAGAAAGGGGAAAACCUGUGUCCACCAACCGAUGCGUAGACACAGGAAACAAUACUCAGCCAUAAACGUGACAGAAUCACACCACCUGCAGCACGGUGGGUGGAAACGGAGAUCAUUCCUGUACCUAAGUGAGGAGAUCAUUCCUUUACCUAAGUGAGGAGAUCAUUCCUUUACCUAAGUGAGGAGAUCAUUCCUUUACCUAAGUGAGGAGAUCAUUACUUUACCUAAGUGAGGAGAUCAUCAUUACUUUACCUAAGUGAAGUGACCCGGGCAUGGAAGUCAAGCACCACAUGAUGUGGGAUGAUGUCUAGCUGAUCUCACAGAAGUAGAGGGCAGUUAGAGAGCAGGGGUGGCAGGGCUUUUAUCUAGGUGUCCCCCCAAAGCCUCCUGUGCUGCAGGUGGGGCACUGGCAGUGACUGGACUGCGGGUGUGUGAUAGUGGAUGGGUCCACUGAUGGGUUACAGCUGGCGUGAUGUGGGGAGGUGACGCUGGUGGGAAGAGGGGUCCCUGUGGUGUGGCCUGGAAGGGGGGUACAUACACGCACAUGUCCCUCCUUCCCCUUGAUGCUGCUCUGUUUCUCGCCUUCCAUGCCAUGGACUGAUUCUCCUCUGCGGUGACCCUCCGCCAUGCCAGCCCGCCUUGGAGCCAGCCCACUGUGGACUGAAACCUGUAGAAACUGUGAGCCAAAUGAACCUCUCCUCCUUUACCUGACGGGGGUCAGGCAUUCUGUCCUCGCAACAUGAAAACGAAGCCGAGGGGAGAGGAAGGAUGGAUAGAGGGCUCACAGCAAAGAGCUUGCCUUGGGUCUCAAGGAGACUCUGGACUUGGACAUGUCAGCAAUGUUGGAAAUGUUAAGUCUCUGUGACGCCUACAGAAGAACUAAAAGCAUGCCUCAUAUGGAGACAGAGAGGUGUCUUUUGGGGCCCAGAGGCAGAAUAUCAUGGUUUGCAUCUGAAGUGUACCCAAAAGUGUCCUGUCCUCACAAGUGCAGCUUUUGGAAGGUGGCUGCAUCACAGGGACAGGGUGCCCAUCGGUCAGUGAGCCCCAGACGAGCUCACAGCUCAAUGUGCUGCUCGGAGUGUCGCACAGGCUGAGCUGUGCAAAGCAGAGCCCUACAAGGAGCCUCUCACUCUGAGGUGCCCACGUCCAGUAUCCUGUCCCGGAUCAGGAAGGUGACAACACGACCGUAUGACUGCAGGGCUGACCAGGAGCCGCAGUUCUCCACCCUGCCCCCCGCAGCACAUGUCAAGAGCCCGAGGGGCUGGGGAUUUAGCUCAGCGGCACAGCGCCUGCCUGGCAAGCGCAAGAUCGUGAGUUCGGUUCCUGGAACCAGAAAAAAACCAUGUCAAGAGCCUGGCAAAAUGAAGUAUCCACAUGUGCAGUACAGUUCCUACGGCUGAGCCCUUGUGCUGCUGAAAACCUACCUGGAAUGGUGACAGGCAUCAUGCAGCCAUCCUCAAAGCCCCAGGCCAAGUCCAGCCUCCUCUGGGACGCUCACAGCUGCGGAUCUGGAGCAGAGCUCAGAGCAAAGCCCUCCGUCCUGGCAGCCUGGCGAUGUGGGAGGUCCAGGCUGCAAGUAGAUGGCCCCAGUAAACACCAGGAAGACCAGUACACAUGCUCUGGGCCACAGAGUCACGCAGCUAAGCGCUCCUUGUUUGCAAAUCCACACCAAAUUAUGGAGAGAAGUGCACCAGCCCACGGUGGACUUUCCACAGUGCAUUUUUAAUCAUGCGCCGAUCCCUCAGAAACCAUGUAUCCCUGCUACUCUAUCUCCAGCACCAACAGGUUGAAGAAGGGGUCCGCAGGAGCGUUUCUGCAAAGUGCCAUUGCCACAAGCUGCACAGAGUGGCUUCUUGGGCUGCGCCUGGGGAGGCCCAGCUGUGUGAGCCCAGGUGACAGCUGCAGAACACAGACCCGUCCGCCCCCUCCCUGAUCUUGGUGGUCUCUGACACCGUUCACAGAUGAUGUUUCAGUGUGUGCCCUUCCAGCAUUUGCCCCGCGCCCUGCUCAUGCGCAAGCACCCACUCACCUGUGGCAGGCUGCUCUGGGGACCCAGGCGGCACACAGGGAACUGGUGAUUUACGCCACCGCAGGCUCAAGGCGGCAAACACCUGGCUGUCCAGCCAGGCCCAAGGCAGGGUGGUUCAGGAAUGUGGCGACCCUUGGUGGUGACAAGCACUCCUCGCUUUGUCCUUGCUAAGGACCCGGCUCUGAGCUCACUGUGUGUCACUCACUUUGCAAACAUUUUCACUGAACGGGCAUCACCUUGGCAUGAGGCACACAAGGGUGACAAAAGCCAGAGUUGACCCCAGUUGCUUUAGAACUUCUGGUCUAGGAAAGUCACACAUCUAUUAGUUCCUCUCGCAAGGGCAGGAAAGAUCAGCCUCUGGGAUAGGUUUCCCAAAGAACCCCACGUGAUCCCAGAGGAACACGAAACACGGGAGCUGCUCUGUGGAGGGGCUGGCAGGGCAGGUUCCUGCAUAAAGGAAGCUGCAGAGGAACCUGGAAUUAACUAGCAGUGCAGCAGAGGAAGGGCUGGGAAUGGAGGAUAACUGAGGAGAAAUAACCUGCACAUUUGUGGUCUCAGGCUUAACCCAGGGGAGCCCAGGGAAGGCUCUGCCCUAGAAGGGCGGCCAGGGCACAUGUUUCUGACUAAGCUGACUCUUGGUGAUGGCCAACAAGAGGUGCUGGGGAGGACAGUGGCUGAAGGGAGGCUGGGAGACGGGUCUGGAAGACAGGUCGCCACCAUGCAGGGAAAGACCACACAGGCUAGGAGCAGACUGGGCUGAUGGUGGGGGACGGGGUCUAGCUGGAAGGCACGUAGUACAGUCAGAGGCCUCAAGGGACAGGGCCUCUCAAGGAUGGUUCUGGAGGGACAACUCUUCCAACAUGAGCCAGGAGACGGCUGGGUGGGGGGACAGGCAGACCGCAGUGGUGGAGGCGUUGAGCUGGAUCAUGCAUGAUUUAUCACUGCUGUCACCAUUAUUAUUACAGGGAAAUUCUGUUCUAUAAAAUGCUGCCUUACUCACAGCCCUACUGGAUUCUGGCAACAGUUCCAUGUGAUUCAGCAACAUGGAGACUUAAUUUGGAUGGAAGGAUCCACUAUGUAACAAUGGACAACUAGUCUACCUGCUGCACAUGGGCAGAGCCAGAGCCCCAGUCCCUCCCUACCCUUUACCCUGCGAGGCUCUCAGCCUCCCUGGGGUGGCUGCAGCUGCAGCCAACCCCCUCAGCCCACACCCCAGCUGCAUAAGAUUAAGUAAUGGGCUACACAAUGAAGAGCUCACCACCCGCUUCCUGAAGUACUGAGAAUUGAACUUGUGGACACUCCAACACUACCCAGCCCUUUCUAUUGCUUAUUUGCAGACAAGGUCUCACUAAGUUGCCAAAGCUAGCCUUGAACUUGUGACCCUCUUGCCUCAGCCUCCAGAGUAGCUGUGAUUACAACCAUGAACCCCGGAGGCUCAGCAAGAGAAUUUUAAGUACUGCAUGACCCUGGCUACGGUGGAGUUAUGUUUUUUCCUUUCCUUUCUAAGAAGAUUAGUCUCAUGGUGUUGCCCAGCCUGGUCUUCAACUCCUGGGCCCAGGGAUCCUCUCAGCCUUCAGAGAAGCUGGGACAAAAGAAUUGAGAAUUCCUCAAAACCUGCCACGUUACAAAACCCUGGGCUUUCAUGGUCACCUCAUUCCAGGUGUUUGUCACCAGCUAGCACUGUCCCUGCUUGAGGCUUAGACUCGCUGGAUAACUCACUGGCAGCCAGGAUGUGGAGCUGGCUGUUUUUCCAGUGGUUCUGUGCUUUGUUUUUGCUUGUUUAAGUCAGGGUCUUGCUAGGACUUUGUGCUCUUGAUACAUACAGGUGCAGGGCAUGGCAGGGGAAAGCGGAGUGACAGACGUCACAUGAGGUCAGCAGCGGCUCCUCCCCUCCUGUUGGCACCGAGACCCUGGGAGACGGAGUGGCUUGCUUUCUACCUUAAUUAGUGCAGCAAUUUGCUAAAUUUUGUUUUUCCCUUUUUAAGAGUGUUAAUCAAUUUCAGCUCAGAAUAGAUUGGAAUGGCAAGCAAAUUACCACGCCAGUCCCCAAAUGCUAAAUUCUGAACAUCUCGAUCAACCUUGGAGCCGGAAAAAUAGGAAACCAGAAGCUCGGGCCAGUGUCUCCACCAGCCAGUUAAAAUGUGACGGCUCUGAAAUGAAAAGAUAAUGGGCGGAUGGGGUCUGGAGCAUCCGGUCUGCCUGAAUCAGCCUUGUGCCCGGUCCCUCCCAAGGGGACUGCAGACCCCGGGCAGGGGCACGUGUGCACAGUGGUGCCUUCUCUACCAGGAGCAUGGGGUUGUGCUGUGCCCACACGCAGUACCAGCACCUACUGUGCACCAGCAGUGCAGGAAAGAGUGAGACACGCCCCCUUCCCCACCUCCCGAGGAAGCUUCCAGUGGAUGGUCAAGGCAACAGACAUUUCCUCUUUCCUGGAGAAGCAGGACUAUCCCCAGAGGAGGUGGGAACACACCCAUCAGGAAGGGCAGGUAAGACGCAGGACAGGGCGAGAAGGCCCAGCCUGUGCAGGCUCACCCAGAGAGAGGGGCCACCGAGAGCCAAGCGACAGGGAAACGUGCGGCACAGCGAGCGGUGAGCGUGGAACCCAAGUCCAGAGCCGGCACGGACAGGCCUUCUGGGUGAGCCAGGACCCGGCCCAGACACAGCCAAGGCGGCGAGCACAGGAGGAAUUGGUUCCUUUGGGGAAACCCUUUAGUAUGUAUUCGGCAUCAGCUCGUUAUGCACGCUCACACACAUUCUUUCACUUGAGCCUCUUAAUUACCCAUGAGUGAGAAUUCUAAUCACUACUAAUGAGUAAACAGGGCUCACAGACAGAGUUCACUUAGAGUCUUGCGAUCAGUAAUGAGAACACCCCAGUUCCACCCCAGGCCCGCCAGACCGCGUUCCAGCCAGCACACACUUCCCUGGGUGAGGGAACCUCUGGACUUCGACCACGGCCACAUUGAGACACCGGGAACCCAGGGCCUCAGUGUCUACAAAGAGCCUCCUGCUGGCAGGGCGGCCUGGAGCAGCAUGGACGCAUGCCCAGAGAGGUCUCGUUAUCACCUCUGAUGACCACAUCAGACACCCUGUUAAGUGCCAGACGCCUGCAGUUAGGAGCUGGGGCUUCCGCCACCACCAGCCUGCUCAGCCCCGGGGAAGGAAGUCAGAGCAGCCCCGUGUGGCCCCCACCAGCCCUCCAGCCCCAGCU